GGCUCAUUUUCUGGGUUAAGUCUCCUUGAAAGAUUGGACCUCCGAAACAAUCUUAUUAGUAGUAUAGAUCCAGGUGCCUUCUGGGGACUGUCAUCUCUAAAAAGAUUAAACCUUUCGGGGAAUUUGUUUUCUUCAUUAUCUCAAGGAACUUUUGAUUAUCUUGCCUCAUUACGGUCUUUGGAAUUCCAGACUGAGUAUCUUUUGUGUGACUGUAACAUACUGUGGAUGCAUCGCUGGGUAAAGGAGAAGAACAUCACGGUACGGGAUACCAGGUGUGUUUAUCCUAAGUCACUGCAGGCCCAACCAGUCACAGGCGUGAAGCAGGAGCUGUUGACAUGCGACCCUCCGCUUGAAUUGCCGUCUUUCUACAUGACUCCAUCUCAUCGCCAAGUUGUGUUUGAAGGAGACAGCCUUCCUUUCCAGUGCAUGGCUUCAUAUAUUGAUCAGGACAUGCAAGUGUUGUGGUAUCAGGAUGGGAGAAUAGUUGAAACCGAUGAAUCGCAAGGUAUUUUUGUUGAAAAGAACAUGAUUCACAACUGCUCCUUGAUUGCAAG
Molecule: small RNA, 554 nt
Filed under: Pan troglodytes (chimpanzee)
Lineage: Eukaryota; Metazoa; Chordata; Mammalia; Primates; Hominidae
Description: processed transcript
Source: RNAcentral